This 497-nucleotide ribosomal RNA is filed under the name uncultured bacterium. Its description in RNAcentral is "partial 16S ribosomal RNA". It matches the Rfam family "Bacterial small subunit ribosomal RNA", at positions 28 to 507 of the family's 1533-position model. The record is from RNAcentral.
GAAGAACGCUGGCGGCGUGCCUAAUACAUGCAAGUCGAGCGAACGGACGAGAAGCUUGCUUCUCUGAUGUUAGCGGCGGACGGGUGAGUAACACGUGGAUAACCUACCUAUAAGACUGGGAUAACUUCGGGAAACCGGAGCUAAUACCGGAUAAUAUUUUGAACCGCAUGGUUCAAAAGUGAAAGACGGUCUUGCUGUCACUUAUAGAUGGAUCCGCGCUGCAUUAGCUAGUUGGUAAGGUAACGGCUUACCAAGGCAACGAUGCAUAGCCGACCUGAGAGGGUGAUCGGCCACACUGGAACUGAGACACGGUCCAGACUCCUACGGGAGGCAGCAGUAGGGAAUCUUCCGCAAUGGGCGAAAGCCUGACGGAGCAACGCCGCGUGAGUGAUGAAGGUCUUCGGAUCGUAAAACUCUGUUAUUAGGGAAGAACAUAUGUGUAAGUAACUGUGCACAUCUCGACGGUACCUAAUCAGAAAGCCACGGCUAACUACGUG